Molecule: ribosomal RNA, 463 nt
Filed under: uncultured bacterium
Lineage: Bacteria
Description: bacterial SSU rRNA
Rfam family: Bacterial small subunit ribosomal RNA
Source: RNAcentral
UCCAGACUCCUACGGGAGGCAGCAGUGGGGAAUAUUGCACAAUGGGGGGAACCCUGAUGCAGCGACGCCGCGUGGGUGAAGGAGCACCUCGGUGCGUAAAGCCCUAUCGGCAGGGAAGAAAAGCGAACAGGUUCGCCUGGACGGUACCUGACUAAGAAGCCCCGGCUAACUACGUGCCAGCAGCCGCGGUAAUACGUAGGGGGCAAGCGUUAUCCGGAUUUACUGGGUGUAAAGGGAGCGUAGGCGGCGAUGCAAGUCAGAAGUGAAAGCCCGGGGCUCAACUCCGGGACUGCUUUUGAAACUGUAUGGCUAGAUUGCAGGAGAGGCAAGUGGAAUUCCUAGUGUAGCGGUGAAAUGCGUAGAUAUUAGGAGGAACACCAGUGGCGAAGGCGGCUUGCUGGACUGUAAAUGACGCUGAGGCUCGAAAGCGUGGGGAGCAAACAGGAUUAGAUACCCCAGUACG